GACGAACGCUGGCGGCGUGCUUAACACAUGCAAGUCGAACGGAAAGGCCCUGCUUUUGUGGGGUGCUCGAGUGGCGAACGGGUGAGUAACACGUGAGUAACCUGCCCUUGACUUUGGGAUAACUUCAGGAAACUGGGGCUAAUACCGGAUAGGAGCUCCUGCUGCAUGGUGGGGGUUGGAAAGUUUCGGCGGUUGGGGAUGGACUCGCGGCUUAUCAGCUUGUUGGUGGGGUAGUGGCUUACCAAGGCUUUGACGGGUAGCCGGCCUGAGAGGGUGACCGGGGGGAGGGGGACUUAGAGAGGGGCGGGAGUGCGACGGGGGGCAGGCGUGGGGGAUGGGGCGCGUGGGGGGGGAGCCGUAUGCCGGAGUGGCGCGUGAGGGAGGGCGGGCGGCGGUGGGGAGACAGGUGUCGACGGCGACGAAGGGGGAGUGAGGGUCGGUGGGAAAGAGGCCACGGCUAACUACGGC
RNAcentral lists this ribosomal RNA (468 nucleotides) under uncultured bacterium. RNAcentral describes it as "partial 16S ribosomal RNA". The stretch from base 20 to 332 matches the Rfam family "Bacterial small subunit ribosomal RNA", at positions 47 to 358 of the family's 1533-position model. The record is from RNAcentral.